CGCGCCCCGGCCCCGCCGACUCCCGCACGCCGCCCCGGCCGCUCGCGCAGUCACGCGCCCGCACCCGCGCGCCCGGCGGGGUCCUCGCCGCCGCCGCCAAGCAUCGUCGGCCCCGGCUGGGGCGCAGCAGGUGGCACGGCACGCAACGCGGGCUCCCGCAGAGCCCUCAGGCCCGGCUCGAACACUGUGUCAGUGGCAGGAAGUUGAACAGAGGCCGUGAUCAGCCCUGACUGUGGUCAUGAGAAGUUUCAGGAGUCCUGACUGGGAUGUGGAUGUUGGUCCUUCCAUUAUUGCUCUGUACUUCCCGAGAAUGUCCCCCGAGGCUUCUGUUAAGAACCGAAAUAUCCAGCAUGAAGCUGUCGGCCUGGGGAUGGGUUUCUAAAUGCCAUGUGAGGAGGUAAUGGGGUCAGGGAGACCCCAGGAGUAAUUCAAGAAAAGCAAGCACUGCAUUCACUUGGCUUCCCUUGAAAAGCAGGCUCUGAACGCAAGACUCUGAGGAGAGGCUGUUGUGGAGAGACUAAGCUAUCAAGAGCCGGUGCCCCUCAUCCUCAAAGGGUUCAGCCACCCGCCAUGCCUUUCUCCUCAAUCCAGGGGGCCUCAGGUCUGCCUUGAAGGAACCAGCCAGAGCAAGGAGGCCUUGCCCAGAUGACAGCCACUGAUGGGUAUGUUUGGAUGAUGACACUAGAAUAUUCUGGAAGCAGAGACACUGUCCAGUUUGAUCCUCUCUGGCCCCUAGCUGUGAGACUUUCUCCUCAAGUGUGUGGGAUUGGUGGCGUUGGUCAGACCGUGAUUGUCUUACCUCAGACCAAAUCUGCCACACCCAACCUAGUACCCCGAGUUCUGUCAUAUGGUGUUUGUCAUAUGAGAAAUUUCCUCUCAACAUUGGGACAGGGGACAAUGGAGUCCCUCCAGGAGCUCACGAUGCAGCCCUGCCUGGGCACCCUGCCCCUACCCCCACCCCCUAGCUCUGAGCUCAGCGCAUCACUAAGAGCAUGAGCCCUGCAGCCCCGUUAUCUGGCUUAACCCCCUGCUCAGACACUGGUGAAGGAACCGGCGUUAGAACCAUAUGACUGAAGCCCAAUCAUGAAUAACUCUGCAACUGUGUGUCUCACUGUGGUUCAAUUAAGAAAAACAAAUAAAUUACUUUAAAAAAAAAAAACCCUGCUCCAUCGCUCACUGGACCAUGGCCUUGGCUGGGUCACAGUGCCUUCUCAUGCCUCUGUUUCUCUCUAUGUCAAAUGCUUUUUGUUAUGGAAAUUAAAGUGAGGUGCCGGAACAUGGUAGAUGUAAUAGAGAAAUAAACAAGUAUGUUACUUAAUAUAGUAAUUCUUGGGAUCACUAAGUCAAUGAUGGUUGGAGGGACCGCUCAGGAUGGAAGACAUGUGCUGAAAGUAGACAAAGGACCAAACAUGAUGGCCUCUCGUUAUCUGUAUUCCACACCUUAAUACCCAAAAGUAGAGAGAGAAUAAGAGGGAAUUGUUUGCCAUAGAGGCAAG
Long non-coding RNA from Sorex araneus (European shrew), 1496 nucleotides. RefSeq lists it as uncharacterized. NCBI's taxonomy places the organism in Eukaryota, Metazoa, Chordata, Mammalia, Eulipotyphla, Soricidae. The record is from RefSeq and is a predicted model, not a curated record. The transcript has 5 exons.